AAUAUCUUCACUAAGGGUCAUUACUACAUGUACAUGUGUCAUUCCAAGGAGUCAUUACAAGGAGUAAGAAGGACAAAACAAGAGUCAUUCUUCUUCUUCGUCUUCUCUUCUUCUUUUUCUUGUUCUUCUUAUUCUUCUUGUACUUCUUCAUAGCUGCAUAGAUGGGCCUGGUAUGGUGUAUAAGGGUUAUUCUUCUUCUUUUUCUUCUUCUUCUUCUACUACUACUACUACUACUACUACUACUACUACUUCUAUUUAAUGCUCA
RNAcentral lists this long non-coding RNA (265 nucleotides) under Hordeum vulgare. Its description in RNAcentral is "long non-coding RNA (HVUL_LNC012106)". Lineage: Eukaryota; Viridiplantae; Streptophyta; Magnoliopsida; Poales; Poaceae. The record is from RNAcentral.